CUGUUGUUAAAGAAGAACACGUAUGAGAGUAACUGUUCAUACGUUGACGGUAUUUAACCAGAAAGUCACGGCUAACUACGUGCCAGCAGCCGCGGUAAUACGUAGGUGGCAAGCGUUAUCCGGAUUUAUUGGGCGUAAAGAGAGUGCAGGCGGUUUUCUUAAGUCUGAUGUGAAAGCCUUCGGCUUAACCGGGGAAGGUGCAUCGGAAACUAGGAUAACUUGAGUGCAGAAGAGGGUAGUGGAACUCCAUGUGUAGCGGUGGAAUGCGUAGAUAUAUGGAAGAACACCAGUGGCGAAGGCGGCUACCUGGUCUGCAACUGACGCUGAGACUCGAAAGCAUGGGUAGCGAACAGGAUUAGAUACCCUGGUAG
Molecule: ribosomal RNA, 371 nt
Filed under: uncultured bacterium
Lineage: Bacteria
Description: bacterial SSU rRNA
Rfam family: Bacterial small subunit ribosomal RNA
Source: RNAcentral